Molecule: non-coding RNA, 1194 nt
Organism: Tetranychus urticae (two-spotted spider mite)
Lineage: Eukaryota; Metazoa; Arthropoda; Arachnida; Trombidiformes; Tetranychidae
Source: RefSeq, a predicted model, not a curated record
CUGGUGCUAAAUUUUCUCGACCAUCAAACAUUCAGCUUCCCUCAGUUGAUUCACUCUGAUUUUGAGAAGUAAUUUCUGCUUUUGAAUUUAUUCUCCUCUCUUGUUUUUCAUUUCCCAAAUAGAUUUAGUUGAAACAUAACGAGUCAAGAUGACCAACUACGAUCAAGUAAUUAAAGACUAUUGGACCAAUGGUUAUGCAGUUAUUCCCAACUAUUUAACUUCUGAUGAGGUUGACAACAUAAUGAAGGAAACCAACCGAAUCAUUGAUGAUUUCGAUCUUUCUGGACCCAAAAAUAUGUACCGAGCUGGUAAACAAGAAGAUCCUGAUGACUAUUUCCUUCGUUCUGGACAAAAUAUACACCACUUUUUUGAAGAGACAGCCUUUAAGGAUGACAAACUGGUUGUACCCAAAAGUCAAUGUUUACACAAGAUUGGUUUUUACCUUCAUGCUCUUAACCCUGUUUUCAAAGCUGUAACCUUUGAUGAUCGUAUCAAGACCUUGGUUAAGAAAGUCGGCUUCGUCGAUCCAUAUGUUGUUCAAAGUAUCGUUAACUUUAAGCAUCCUCGUAUUGGUACCACCAUACCUGCCCAUCAAGAUGCUACCUUCUUGUACACUGAGCCACAGAUUAAACUUAUGGGCUUCUGGAUUCCUCUUGAAGAUGCAACACUUGAAAAUGGUUGUCUUUGGUUUAUCCCUGGAUCACACAAUGAGCCUGUUAGACGUCGAUGGAUCCGAAACAAAGAAGGUCAAGAACCUAGAAUUGUAUUCACUUGUCCCGAGAUAAAGUACGAUGAUUCCAAGUUUGUGCCCGUUCCAGUUCCUAAAGGAUCACUUGUACUUAUCCAUGGACAAGUUGUUCAUAAAAGUGAAGCCAAUACUUCAAGUAAACCUCGACCAGCUUACACUUUCCAUGCAGUCGAUUUACAUGACACAAAAUGGUCACCUGACAACUGGAAUCAACCUACUAAAGAAGCUCCUUUCAUUAAAGUCUAUUAAUCAUGCAAAAUUAGGAAAAAUUACAGAUGACAAGUUCUGGCCUUAUUGAAUUUUCUAAAAGUAUAAACAUAUUCCUGCUCCUUUUUAAACCCGCUGUACAUUCCCGCUAUUAAACCCGUUCGCCACUAUUAACCAGCCUUUUCCUCAAUGUAACUAUUUUCCCUACAGUUAGUCUAUUAAACAUCUUAUUAUUAUGA